This 569-nucleotide small RNA is filed under the name Pan troglodytes (chimpanzee). Its description in RNAcentral is "processed transcript". The record is from RNAcentral. Lineage: Eukaryota; Metazoa; Chordata; Mammalia; Primates; Hominidae.
CCUGACUGUCCCUUCGACCCCACACGCAUUUAUGUGAGUACCUAGGCCUGGAGUAGUGGCACCAGGCCCUCGCACGGGUGGGAAGGGCUCUUGGAAUCCACCCUCCACCCCCAACUCCAGCCAGCCAUCUCUGCCCCAUGCCCCGCAGAGCUCCAGCCUGUGCCUCUGGGGCAUCGCCCUAGUGCUCUGCGUGGCGGAGAAUGUGUUUGCUGUACGCUGUGCUCAGCUCACCCACCAGCUGCUGGAGCUGAGGCCCUGGUGGGGGAAAAGCAGCCACCACAUGAUGCGGGAGAACCCAGAGCUGGUGGAGGGCCGUGACCUGCUGAGCUGCACCAGCUCUGAGCCUCUGACCCUCUGAGAGAUGAUGUCCUGCCCAGGCCCGAUGGCCACUAGGACCCUGCAAGCAACUCUGCUCUGUGACCAGGCCAGGAUUCCUGGAGCUGGCCUGAGAGGGCUCAAUGGACCCUCGGGGACCCAAGUGGGGCUUUCAACCCUCUCCCCCACCACCCAGCCCACUGCACUGAAAUGAGACUUUAUUCUGAAAUUAUUAAAAAGAACAGAGAUGCUCC